RNAcentral lists this long non-coding RNA (694 nucleotides) under Rattus norvegicus (Norway rat). Its description in RNAcentral is "long non-coding RNA NONRATT017809". The record is from RNAcentral. Lineage: Eukaryota; Metazoa; Chordata; Mammalia; Rodentia; Muridae.
GGAGUCUUCACUCUCUUCUAUACCUAUUAUCCUUAGGUUUGAUCGUCUCAUUGAGUCCUGGAUUUCUUGUAUGUUUUGGACCAGUAGCUUUUUCUGCUUUACAUUAUCUUUGACAGUUGAGUCAAUGAUUUCUAUGGAAUCUUCUGCUCCCGAGAUUCUCUCUUCCAUCUCUUGUAUUCUGUUGGUGAAGCUUGUAUCUACAGCUCCUUGUCUCUUCUUUUGAUUUUCUAUAUCCAGGGUUGUUUCCAUGUGUUCUUUCUUGAUUGCUUCUAUUUCCAUUUUUAAUUCCUUCAACUGUUUGAUUGUGUUUUCCUGGAAUUCUUUCAGGGAUUUUUGUGUCUCCUCUCUAUGGGUUUCUACUUGCUUAUUUAUGUUUUCCUGGAAUUCUUUCAGGCAUUUUUGCGAUUCCUCUCUGUAGGCUUCUACUUGUUCUCUAAGGGAGUUCUUCACAUCUUUCUUGAAAUCCUCCAGCAUCAUGAUCAAAUAUGAUUUUGAAACUAGAUCUUGCUUUUCUGGUGUGUUUGGAUAUUCCAUGUUUAUUUUGAUGGGAGAAUUGGGCUCCGAUGAUGCCAUGUAGUCUUGGUUUCUGUUGCUUGGGUUCCUGGGCUUGCCUCUUGCCAUCAGAUUAUCUCUAGUGUUACUUUGUUCUGCUAUUUCUGAUAGUGGCUAGACUGUCCUAUAAGCCUGUGUUUCA